GAUGAACGCUGGCGGCGUGCCUAAUACAUGCAAGUCGAGCGAACAGAUAAGGAGCUUGCUCCUUUGACGUUAGCGGCGGACGGGUGAGUAACACGUGGAUCACCUACCUAUAAGACUGGGAUCACUUCGGGAAACCGGAGCUAAUACCGGAUAACAUAUUGAACCGCAUGGUUCAAUAGUGAAAGGCGGCUUUGCUGUCACUUAUAGAUGGAUCCGCGCCGUAUUAGCUAGUUGGUAAGGUAACGGCUUACCAAGGCAACGAUACGUAGCCGACCUGAGAGGGGGAGCGGCCACGAUGGAGUGAAGAGCCGCACUAGACCCCAACGAGGGGCAGCAGUAGUGAGUCUGCCGGAAGGGGCGAAUGCCUGACGGAGCAACGCCGCGUGAGUGAUGAAGGUCGUGGGAUCGUAAAACUCUGUUAGCAGGGAAGAAGAAAUGUGUAAGUAACUGUGCAGAUCUUGACGGUACCGUAUCAGAAAGCCACGGCUAACUGCG
This 495-nucleotide ribosomal RNA is filed under the name uncultured bacterium. RNAcentral's name for it is "partial 16S ribosomal RNA". It matches the Rfam family "Bacterial small subunit ribosomal RNA", at positions 28 to 505 of the family's 1533-position model. The record is from RNAcentral.